Molecule: RNA transcript, 2619 nt
Organism: Helianthus annuus (common sunflower)
Lineage: Eukaryota; Viridiplantae; Streptophyta; Magnoliopsida; Asterales; Asteraceae
Gene name: probable LRR receptor-like serine/threonine-protein kinase RFK1
Exons: 14
Source: RefSeq, a predicted model, not a curated record
GAGAAUUCCCUCUUGGGCGCCAAUCUCUUUUCCUCCAUUCUCCUUUUAUAUCACACGAUCCUUCUCUCACACGCUCUUUUCUAACCCUAUUUUAUGAUCUGAUGUAUCAUCAUGUCUCAUGCUUCUCAUCUUCUUCUUGAAUUCCCACCCAAAUCUAACAUUAAUUUUUCUAUUGCUUUUCUAUUCGUGUUGCCUAAUCCCUGGAGGCUGGAAAUAAACCCUAGAACUGUUUCGGUUGCAUCGCAAGCAAGAAUGAUGGCUUUGGGGUGUGGUAUCGGUGUCUAGGGUUGGCGAAUCGACUUUUCCGGCGAAGUUGGUUAGGGUUCAGGCCGAGAUUCCGGCAACACAGGUAAGACAAUGCCUCGGUUUUGUUUAGAUUGGUGGCAUAUGGCCCUUUUUUGGCUAGAUAUGGUGUUAACACUGGUCUGAAUCAGUGAAGAAACUUAUUGAGAUAGGGUAAAGUUCAUCGAUGAUGGUUGUAGGGGUAAACGUCAAGAACAAUCCAACGAUUGAGACCAAGCGUUUGUUUAAAUGUCUCAAUGAAAGUUUGGAUUGAACAUCAUCAAAAUGCCACCAAAAAAGUGCUAUAGUGAAAAGCUUCGACUCCAAUGGCUUGUCAGAAGGGAAAAGAAAGAUGGGUGAUUUGCAUUACUCUUAUUGGGAACACGGCUCGCCAUUUUAACGUUGUGAUCAAGUGGUCAGCAGCCAUCAUUCGUGUUCAAUCAAUAGGUGUUAGGGCUGUGUGGAUGGUUAAAAGUCGCGAAAGGACAACGGUAGUGGGCUGUCAAAACUGGAUAGCAAAUUCACACUUUCAGCCGUGAUUUCGAAACCAAAUUAUGUGGUACAAUGCAACAACGAGUUGGGAUCUUUUGCAGCUGUUUGAGAGGUGUUUGAGGACUGAGAACUAUGUACAAACAACCACAGUAUCAUAGUUAAAGCAGUAGUUCCAGCAUUCUGUCAUGUUCUAUUUCACAGUGAUGGGCGUAGGCGAGGACUCGACAUAGGCAUAGAGACAAGAAGCACGACAGCGGAGUAGUGAUGAUGAAGAUGAUUUGAGGAGGACGUAGGAUUUGCUUCACAAAGUAUUAUCUAUUUGCUUAUUUUGAAAUUGCAAGCCAGGAGGCGAAGAUGGCGUACAAGCACUUCAUCAUGAAGGUACCUUCAACCGGGGAGUGGUGUAUAAUGUCGGGGAUAUUAGUCGGACUUGUGUGGUCCCCCUAUAAAACAGAAAUGGAGAUUGUUUGGAUUCUCUAAGGGUUGUCUUAGUAUGGAUAGGAGGGAUGAACUAAGUUACUUCUUUUGCUAAGACAAGGUAACGAGUUGAGUGCGAAGAACAUUGGUACUAUGGUCCAUACUGAGCAAUAUGGGAGUGACUUAAUUGAACUCAGGGGUAUAAUCGACAAUUUAUACCACAACGUCAAGUCAAAACCGUUGUUUGUAGCACUGGUGGGUUCUUUGAUAAAGAGUGGUUUUCGAAGCUUCUUAAGGUUUCAGGUUCAGACUUUGUUGAUGCAAUGACACUCCAUUUGUAUAAUAUGGGACCAGUUUUAGGCAAUUUUGGAUGAGUUAAGCUGUUGUUGUGCUUGGGUCUUUGCUUGCUUAAAAUCUGACAGAAUCAUGGAGUUCGGGGGACGAAAGUGAGGCAGGAAAGAUGGCGGUUCUGGAGCCUGCUCAGGCGUUGCAGAAUCUGCCUGUGCCGCCGCUUCAGCAGGCGAAGAAAAGUCGACGUGGACCGAAGUCUCGAGGCUCACAGUAUCACGGUGUGACGUUUUAUCGGCGUACUGGUCGUUGGGAAUCACAUACCUGGGAUUGUUGAAAACAAGUAUAUUUAGGUGGAUUUGAUACUGCCCUUGCUGCAGCUAGGUUAGAGUUUUGUUUGAAAAAAAAUUGUAACUCGAUAUAUUUCUUGGUAAGGUUUGCCAAACAUGAGUCUUAGCAUGAAGAGAUAUCAGGUUAUAAAUCAUACAAAAAAAAAUACUUUUAUAGAUAUACAUUUUUUAACACAACCCAUAACCCGUGAAGCUAGAGACCAAAUCCAAAAUUUUGAUAAACGAUAGGGACCGUCCAUGUACUUUACUAUUAAUUCUAGGAAAACGUAUGUUUAAUAUUGUUAUUUAUGGUGAUGUAACUAACUAUACAUUUUACAUAGGAACCUUGAAGCAAGUAACUUUUCGGGAACUGUUCCAUCUGAUUUGGGGAGAUUAAUAAAUUUACACACAUUGAUUUUGUCCUCAAACCGGUUGACGGGAACGUUGCCAGCAUCCCUUGCUGAAUUGAGCAAUUUAAAAGAUUUGAUAAUUGACAACAAUCUUAGUGGGUCCAUACCUAAUUUCAUAGAGAAUUGGAGACAACUCAAUAAACUAGAACUAAUUGGGACGGGGCUUUCGGGACUGAUUCCUUCAUCCAUUUCUUUCUGAACUUAACUAACGUGAGAACUUGUGAACUAAGUGGACCAACUCAGAGAUUCCCUCCGUUAGAUAAUGUUGUUGGUUUACUAACACUGUAUGUAGAAGGUUUUGUAUUUCAAAUUGUCGUUGUAAUAUAAUAUAUUCGUUUGUGUUUUAACGUGUAAAAAAUCAUAAUAUUUACGUCAAUGCUGAUAAUGAAGAUAUUUUCUUU